RNAcentral lists this transfer RNA (75 nucleotides) under Plutella xylostella (diamondback moth). RNAcentral describes it as "tRNA-Ser". Lineage: Eukaryota; Metazoa; Arthropoda; Insecta; Lepidoptera; Plutellidae. The record is from RNAcentral.
GCGUCUGGCUGGUGUAGUGGUUAGUGACCCUGACUACUAUGCCGAAGGUCCCGGGUUCGAUUCCCGGCUGGGGCA